Molecule: ribosomal RNA, 433 nt
Filed under: uncultured bacterium
Lineage: Bacteria
Description: bacterial SSU rRNA
Rfam family: Bacterial small subunit ribosomal RNA
Source: RNAcentral
AUGGGAACGCGAAGAACCUUACCUAACUUGACAUCUCCUGCAUUACUCUUAAUCGAGGAAGUCCCUUCGGGGACAGGAAGACAGGUGGUGCAUGGUUGUCGUCAGCUCGUGUCGUGAGAUGUUGGGUUAAGUCCCGCAACGAGCGCAACCCCUAUUAUUAGUUGCUAACAUUAAGUUGAGCACUCUAGUGAGACUGCCCGGGUUAACCGGGAGGAAGGUGGGGAUGACGUCAAAUCAUCAUGCCCCUUAUGUCUAGGGCUACACACGUGCUACAAUGGUGGGAACAAAGAGAUGCAAUACCGCAAGGUGGAGCUAAACUCAAAACCCCAUCCCAGUUCGGAUUGUAGGCUGAAACUCGCCUACAUGAAGCUGGAGUUGCUAGUAAUCGCGAAUCAGAAUGUCGCGGUGAAUACGUUCCCGGGUCUUGUACACA